UUUUUUUCCCAGAAUUGAUUUUGAUCCAAAUCUGAUCUGAUCCGAUUCGAUCGGAUUAUGUUUCAGGUAUGGGAGCAGCGUACGGGACAGCGAAGAGCGGGGUUGGUGUAGCGUCGAUGGGUGUGAUGAGACCAGAGCUUGUGAUGAAAUCGAUUGUUCCUGUUGUUAUGGCUGGAGUUUUAGGUAUUUAUGGUUUGAUCAUUGCUGUUAUCAUCAGUACCGGAAUCAACCCUAAGGCCAAGUCUUACUAUCUAUUCGAUGGCUAUGCUCAUCUCUCUUCCGGUCUUGCUUGUGGUCUCGCUGGUCUCUCCGCCGGUAUGGCUAUUGGAAUUGUCGGCGAUGCCGGUGUUAG
This 352-nucleotide small RNA is filed under the name Arabidopsis thaliana (thale cress). Its description in RNAcentral is "ATSL013890". Lineage: Eukaryota; Viridiplantae; Streptophyta; Magnoliopsida; Brassicales; Brassicaceae. The record is from RNAcentral.